UACGGAGGGGGUUAGCGUUGUUCGGAAUUACUAGGCGUAAAGCGCACGCAGGCGGUUUGUUAAGCUAGAUGUGAAAGCCCCGGGCUCAACCUGGGAUGGUCAUUUAGAACUGGCAGACUAGNGUCUUGGAGAGGGGAGUGGAAUUCCAGGUGUAGCGGUGAAAUGCGUAGAUAUCUGGAGGAACAUCAGUGGCGAAGGCGACUCCCUGGCCAAAGACUGACGCUCAUGUGCGAAAGUGUGGGUAGCGAACAGG
This 253-nucleotide ribosomal RNA is filed under the name uncultured bacterium. RNAcentral describes it as "partial 16S ribosomal RNA". It matches the Rfam family "Bacterial small subunit ribosomal RNA", at positions 524 to 776 of the family's 1533-position model. The record is from RNAcentral.